Molecule: long non-coding RNA, 261 nt
Organism: Portunus trituberculatus (swimming crab)
Lineage: Eukaryota; Metazoa; Arthropoda; Malacostraca; Decapoda; Portunidae
Exons: 3
Source: RefSeq, a predicted model, not a curated record
CCCACCACCACCACUAGGCGUCCAUUUCACCACCAGCCACGAGUCCUGCCAACACGCUGACUGCUCCACCUCCACCUGCUCCACCUUCCCCACCUGUUCACCUGCUCAGUGUAUGGCGAGUGCGGCUGCGGCGACGUAUGAGCUUCAUGAGCGUGGGGCAGGUGUGGGCGGCAGUGGGAGUAAAGCUGAUGACGCCGCCAAUACCUGUGUUCAGACGUGUAGAUGGAAGCAAUAGAAAGGAGGAGGAGAAACAAAGGAGGA